Molecule: long non-coding RNA, 585 nt
Organism: Vicugna pacos (alpaca)
Lineage: Eukaryota; Metazoa; Chordata; Mammalia; Artiodactyla; Camelidae
Source: RefSeq, a predicted model, not a curated record
GGUGCUUUCGUUGUUUCCCCGUAGCGGGACGCGAUGUCGGCGUUUCUCCAUGCUGCUGAGAGCCUGCAAGGUCCCCUCUGGGCCUCCCAGCUUAUUUUAGUUCAGGAGCCCCUGAGGCCUAGCGUGCCGGUUACAGGAGCUCCUAGAAGCGGCUCGCCGGCUCCUGGCCUUUUCCGGGGCGAAGGGCCCCUCAGGGAGACCGUUGGACCGAGGUCUAGCGCUGCGUGCGCUCUCCCAGCGCCCGGGAGCGCGACUCCUCGUUCCCUGGGGCUGGAGAAGCCGAUGUUUCACCCGUCCAGACUAAGGGGUUGUUUGUCAUCCAGAAUUCUACAGUUUGUUGUCCUUAGGUGGAGUCUCCUGAUUUGGCCGCACGAGGGCUCUGCUACACCUGAGGUCUCCUCUGUUGCCUACACCUGGGAUCUCCUCUAUUGGCCACACCUGCAUCUCCAGAAAUGGAUUCUUUUGUGAUUUGUAUUUAAUGAACAUGCCAACUUGCAAGAUUAAUCAUGAAAAUUUUGAUUUAGAAGAGACCCUUUGUUUGGAAUAUGUUUGCCCUAGAUGUCUUCAUGGCUUGUUCCCCAUCAA